GCCUCGGAUCAGGUAGGGAUACCCGCUGAACUUAAGCAUAUCAAUAAGCGGAGGAAAAGAAACCAACAGGGAUUGCCCUAGUAACGGCGAGUGAAGCGGCAACAGCUCAAAUUUGAAAUCUGGCUCUUUCAGGGUCCGAGUUGUAAUUUGCAGAGGGCGCUUUGGCUUUGGCAGCGGUCCAAGUUCCUUGGAACAGGACGUCACAGAGGGUGAGAAUCCCGUACGUGGUCGCUAGCUAUUGCCGUGUAAAGCCCCUUCGACGAGUCGAGUUGUUUGGGAAUGCAGCUCUAAAUGGGAGGUAAAUUUCUUCUAAAGCUAAAUAUUGGCCAGAGACCGAUAGCGCACAAGUAGAGUGAUCGAAAGAUGAAAAGCACUUUGGAAAGAGAGUCAAACAGCACGUGAAAUUGUUGAAAGGGAAGCGCUUGCAGCCAGACUUGCUUGCAGUUGCUCAUCCGGGCUUUUGCCCGGUGCACUCUUCUGUAGGCAGGCCAGCAUCAGUUUGGGCGGUGGGAUAAAGGUCUCUGUCACGUACCUCUCUUCGGGGAGGCCUUAUAGGGGAGACGACAUACCACCAGCCUAGACUGAGGUCCGCGCAUCUGCUAGGAUGCUGGCGUAAUGGCUGUAAGCGGCCCGUCUUGAAACACGGACCAAGGAGUCUAACAUCUAUGCGAGUGUUUGGGUGUCAAGCCCGAGCGCGUAAUGAAAGUGAACGGAGGUGGGAACCCGCAAGGGUGCACCAUCGACCGAUCCUGAAGUUUUCGGAAGGAUUUGAGUAAGAGCAUGGCUGUUGGGACCCGAAAGAUGGUGAACUAUGCUUGAAUAGGGUGAAGCCAGAGGAAACUCUGGUGGAGGCUCGCAGCGGUUCUGACGUGCAAAUCGAUCGUCAAAUUUGGGCAUAGGGGCGAAAGACUAAUCGAACUAUCUAGUAGCUGGUUCCUGCCGAAG
RNAcentral lists this ribosomal RNA (945 nucleotides) under Paradendryphiella arenariae. Its description in RNAcentral is "LSU rRNA". It matches the Rfam family "Eukaryotic large subunit ribosomal RNA", at positions 1 to 966 of the family's 3401-position model. The record is from RNAcentral. Lineage: Eukaryota; Fungi; Ascomycota; Dothideomycetes; Pleosporales; Pleosporaceae.